Long non-coding RNA from Oxyura jamaicensis (ruddy duck), 1746 nucleotides. RefSeq lists it as uncharacterized. The transcript has 5 exons. The record is from RefSeq and is a predicted model, not a curated record. NCBI's taxonomy places the organism in Eukaryota, Metazoa, Chordata, Aves, Anseriformes, Anatidae.
GUUUUAUAUUUUCAGCUGAAAUUAUUCCCGCUCACCCGUUAUUUGGGGAUUAAAACGUGUUCCAGCACUAGAGGCAGCUGCCAGAGGGAUUCUGUCAGGGUGACAGGCUGGCAGCCGAGGGGUGCCUCAGCGAGGGGCUCGGAGCGCCCUGCCUUGCCUCACGAAGAGCAGCACGGCUUGUAAGGCACCAUCGCUCGCUGUUUAAGCACUCCGUGAAUUACAGACACAUGCUGCGUAAACGCCGUGGACUCAGUAUUACAAACAGACACUUCAGAAACAAACUCACGCUUGUCCCGUUCUAUUUUGUUUCCUUCGAGAGUGUUUUCCUGUAUUACUCUGCAUGGACUUAAUCUUGAAGAGGGGCAGAAAUUCCACUUCGUGCAAAGUAAGGAGCUUCUUUUGUAUUAAAGACUUUUCUAUAGGUCUGGAGUUACUCAGGGACAGCUCCAUGUUUCGUGUUCAGUGAUGCUCCUCUGCUGUAAAAGUGCCUUGCUCUCCUGUUUGGUUUGGCCCACUUUCAAAGCGUACUAAGCUGAACGAGCACGGCAUCCAACUUUCAGAAGGGCGUCCUCAACUUGGAAAGAAGAGCUCCCCGUGUGGACAAAGACACAGUCCUCUAGCACCCCAGAGCUACCCACAUCUACCCAAUAUAUUGACUUCAGUCUGCAAAGCCCUUCAUACUUCAAGUACCUCAUCACUUCAGAUUAUCUUGACAUCUUAAGCCCAGAUUUCCCAGACGUUUGGUCUGUAUGACAGAAGAUAACAUUUGCUUAUAAGAAUACUGCUAACAUUGCAACAGACAAUAGGUUAUAAUGGCACAGAACGUCCAGGAUACAGCACAAGACCGAGGAAGCCCCUCAGCGCUAAACAGAACCAGAUGAUGGACGGAGCGGUGCGGCUGUUUUCUUCCUGGUCACUGCACGGCAGCGCAGCUUUCCUUGCCAACGAGGCACGUGUUGUGUGAUUCAGGGAAAUGGUAGUGAUGUACACAUGGCAACCAACUGCCCAGGAGAGUCAGUAUGUAGAGGACUGAGAGCAGCUGAAAAUAGCUGAAAACAAGAAAAGAACAGAGGAGUUUGCUUUCGUUGGAUGUGCGGGGACUUGUCUGAGCGUUGUUCUCACCUUCCCCCAGCACCGGGCUUCGCAGUCUCGCUGUGGCUCUGAUGACUUCACUCUGCCGCAGCUCAGCGCGACAGCCGGCGCCUCGGUGCACUGGCAGGUGAUGUAGCUGUGUGUAGAAUGAUAUGGCAAAAAAAAAAUGGCAAAGAGAAGGACUUGAAUCUGCUAAGUUAGAAACAGCAGAGGAUAGGCCGUGUUACUAGCAACUCGUGUUUUUCAGCAGUUAAUUGCGUUCUAAAAGGAUUCCUGUCUGAAUCGGACAAGCUAAACUGGCGUGUUUUGGAGAUAACGACUGCGCCUGCACCUUGGGAGGAAUUUUCAGUUCUCUGCUUUUGCUUUGAGAAGUUUUCAAUAUAAAUCUCAAAUGUAUAAAUCGUCUCAAGUCUUCUAGCAUGCAAAUUUCUAGAACAUAUUAAAAAUUAAUCACCUUAAGCAAGUGCUUAAUUUAAGCAUGACAUGUGAUGCGCUGAGCAGCCAUGACUAAGCCAACAUAUAGUUUGUUCUGCGGGACCAAAAUUUGUUCCAGUGUGAUUCAUCAAUGAGUAAGAAUGAUGCUAUCUGGAGUUUUAAUCUAAGUGCAGAUUUGAAUAAUGACCUGGAUUUUUGGAGGAGCAGCUAGCUAAGCAA